This 492-nucleotide ribosomal RNA is filed under the name uncultured bacterium. RNAcentral's name for it is "partial 16S ribosomal RNA". It matches the Rfam family "Bacterial small subunit ribosomal RNA", at positions 29 to 507 of the family's 1533-position model. The record is from RNAcentral.
AGUGAACGCUGGCGGUAUGCCUAACACAUGCAAGUCGAACGGCAGCACAAUAAGCGCUUGCUCUUACGGUUGGCGAGUGGCGGACGGGUGAGAAAUACAUCGGCAUCUACUUUUUCUUGGGUGAUAACGUAGGGCAACUUACGCUAAUACCUCAUACUACCUACGGGUGAAAGCAGUGGAUCUUCGUACCUUGCCCGUUUGUAUUAGCCGAUGUCGGAUUAGCUAGUUGGCUUGGUAAAGUCCCACCAAGGCGACGAUACGUAGCUGAUCUGAGAGGAUGAUCAGCCACACUGGAACUGAGACACGGUCCAGACUCCUACGGGAGGCAGCAGUGGGGAAUAUUCGACAAUGGGCGCAAGCCUGACCCAGCCAUGCCGCGUGAGUGAAGAAGGCCUUCGGAUUGUAAAGCCCUGUUGUUGGGAAAGAAAAGCAGCAGGUGAAUACCCCGAUGUUCCGACGGUACCCAAAGAAUAAGCACCGGCUAACUUCGUG